RNAcentral lists this small RNA (171 nucleotides) under Paenibacillus sp. RNAcentral describes it as "Magnesium sequence". It matches the Rfam family "M-box riboswitch aptamer (ykoK leader)". From Rfam's summary of the family: M-box riboswitch, also know as ykoK leader is described as a metaloregulatory RNA that sense divalent metals and function as a genetic control element of genes related to divalent metal transport in bacteria. It was first reported upstream of the B.subtilis ykoK gene and genes with related functions in other bacteria. Lineage: Bacteria; Bacillati; Bacillota; Bacilli; Caryophanales; Paenibacillaceae. RNAcentral also lists the same sequence under 1 other name. The record is from RNAcentral.
UCAGGUCCUCGUUAGGUGAGGCUCCUAUACAAAUACAGGCCACUGCCCGGAAACAUCGAAAGAUGCCAAUGGGUAGAACAGGGAUUGCCGGAUUAAGGCUUUUCAUAAUGUGGCUAAGGGCUCAUGCUCUUUACGUUGUAUAGUGCCAAAGCUGUGACUAGGGGGAAUGAA